AUUGAACGCUGGCGGCAGGCUUAACACAUGUAAGUCGAACGAGUGGCGGACGGGUGAGUAAUGUUUGGGAAACUGGCUUAUGGAGGGGGAUAACUACGGGAAACUGUAGCUAAUACCGCGUACCAUCGGAUGUGCCCAAGUGGGAUUAGGUAGUUGGUGGGGUAACGGCUCACCAAGGCGACGAUCCCUAGCUGGUCUGAGAGGAUGACCAGCCACACUGGGACUGAGACACGGCCCAGACUCCUACGGGAGGCAGCAGUGGGGAAUAUUGCGCAAUGGGGGCAAGCCUGAUGCAGCCAUGCCGCGUGAAUGAAGAAGGCCUUCGGGUUGUAAAGUUCUUUCGGUGGCGAGGCGUUACCCACAGAAGAAGCACCGGCUAACUCCGUGCCAGCAGCCGCGGUAAUUC
This 406-nucleotide ribosomal RNA is filed under the name uncultured bacterium. RNAcentral's name for it is "partial 16S ribosomal RNA". It matches the Rfam family "Bacterial small subunit ribosomal RNA", at positions 30 to 526 of the family's 1533-position model. The record is from RNAcentral.